This is a long non-coding RNA of Prionailurus viverrinus (fishing cat), 406 nucleotides long. RefSeq lists it as uncharacterized. The record is from RefSeq and is a predicted model, not a curated record. NCBI's taxonomy places the organism in Eukaryota, Metazoa, Chordata, Mammalia, Carnivora, Felidae. The transcript is spliced from 3 exons.
UUCCGUGGCUCUGGAGCCCGGAAGUAAGUGGAAGGAAACAGCCUCUCCAUAUUGUUAAAAGCGAACUUACCAGUUCACCUGGUUUUUUUGGAGGGUAUGGGACUUGGAAUCAGACAGCAGAUCCAGUUUCAAAUGCUAGUUUCAAUAUUUAGCCUGGUGACUUGUCUACCUUCAGUUUCCUCGUAUUUAAAAGGACAUAGUAAUGUAGUCUGCCUCACAAGAUUGGGUUUAGCAAAAUACAUCCUGGUUAGAUGUGGCCCGAAAGCUUCAAGUGUGCAGCCCCCUGGAAGCCUGGCCCAUACAAGCUUGGUACUCAGCCAGAGGGUAAAAAGCCACAGGGGAGGUGUUAAUGAAGUCAGUUGCAUCUAGUUUCUUCUAGUAACACCAGCACCUAAGGGAUUUGUCA